Molecule: long non-coding RNA, 2222 nt
Organism: Esox lucius (northern pike)
Lineage: Eukaryota; Metazoa; Chordata; Actinopteri; Esociformes; Esocidae
Source: Ensembl
AGAGCUCCUAAAAAUAGGUUUUCCUGGUUGCAAACGCGACCCCCAGCCGGUAAACUAAAGGUCUUCAUACACACACUUUCAAUUGGGUACUUGGCAUUGGUUGAGAGUAGCGCUUGAACGUGUCCAAGUUUCACGGCUGGCGAAAUAGACACUUUCUUGACAAAUAGUGAUGCUGAUACAAUAACGCACAUCCCCGACCCCCAUAAGGCAGAACUCAUCUUUACAGCGGACCAUCCUAACUAGGGUUGGGUACCAAAACUCGGUGCCAAUAGGGAACCGGUUCCGACGUAAACGGUAGUAACUAGAUCGAAUAAGAACAAACAUUUUGGUGCCUGAUUUCGGUGCCUGACUUUUUUUUUACCGCCCCCUGGUGUUCCGGCGUCAACUUAACUCGGCACACUUGUUGAACUGAUAGCGAGAGGAUUAAUGAAGAUGCCGAAGGCUAAACGCUCCAAGGUUUGGCUGCAUUUCAUGAGUAAGGAUGCAGACUCUGCAAAUGCAACAAAUGCCUUAAAGUAAUAUCAUGCAAGGUCGAACAAUGCAUCGUGUUUGACAACCUACGAGACGCAGAGCCAAGCACGUCAACAGCAGCAGCUAGUGUUGGCCUCGCCGCCAGACAAAUUGAAGAGAGUCCCAGCCCUGCCAGUGUGGUGGUGGACAUCACAGAUGAUGAUAACCGCAGCCGUUCUUCUUCGGUUACAACAGUGACUCCUUUCACCAUGGCUUAGAAGGCUGCACUAUCCAAAGAGAAGGUGCAGGAAAUCCACAGGGCAGUCACCAAAUUUGUGGUGAUGGGGCUUCAUCCAUUUUCCACUGUGGAAUCGCCAUCUUUCAGGGAGAUGAGCACUGCCCUCAAUCAUAGAUACCAACCACCAUCCAGGGAUGACAUAUCCAACAUGUACAUACCCGCGUGGUAUUCUGUUAUAAAACAAAAUGGCAUCCAGGAGCUGGUGCAGGUCAGCAAAAUUGCAAUUACUUGCGAUGGAUGGACCAGUGUGGCACAGGACCACUAUCUAACAGUGACUGUCCAUUAAAUUUACAAAGGCAGCAUCCAGCAGAAAGUGCUGAGCACUGAAGCAGUUUAUGAGUCCCAGACAGGGCCAGUGGUGGCACAGAAAAUCCACAGCAUUCUUGAGGAGUUCAAGUUGACUGGAAAAGUCAUAGCUGCCACAGUAGACAACGCAUACAACAUGGAUGUUGCCCUGAGAAACUAGACAUUUUUAAAAGUUUGGUGCUUUGCCCACACACUCAACCUGGCAGCACAUAAGGUGUUCAGCAUCCAAGCUGUGACUAGGUGGUGUGCAAAGAUUUGCGCAGUGGUGGUGUGGCUGAAGCGCUCUACCAUGAGCAAAACUGUCUUGAGAGAGAAGCAGCGACUCCUCAAUUUGCCAGAGCACAAUGUUAUCCUGGAUGUGAGGACUCGCUGGAAUUCUCUAUACCUCAUGGUGGAGAGGUUUGUGGAGCAGUUCCCUGCAAUCCAGGCAGCUUGCCUCGAUCAAAGGCUAAGGCGGCCAAAGGAGAGGGACAGACUAGAAAGGCUUACAGAGAGUGAUUUUGAGAAGGCAGAGGAAUUCAUUAAAUGCAUUAAAGUCUUGUACACCUCAACCCUCUGCGUGUCAAGUGACAAGUCCCCCACAUGCAGCCAAAUCAUCCCGAUACUCACAAAGCUGGAGGCACACUAUUCAACCUCCGAUGAUGACAAUGUCUUUGUGGCUGCUAUAAAAGAGAAGGAUAAUCAUGACAUUCAGAACUUCCUUCAGGAGGCCACAUUAAUGGACCCUCGCUUUAAAGGCAGGCUGGAAGUUGGUGUUGCGGACGCUUGGGAUAGGCUUGAGAAAGCAGCGAUUGACAAUGCCACGGCAGCUCAGGACCCUCAUCAGACUGAGGCAGGUGAGGAGGUGGACCAAGCAGGCAGACGUAUGUCAGCCUUGGAGCAGUUGUUUGAGGAUGAAGACCGAGAACUUCUUCAUACAACUCAGACCACAAGCAGUGCCCUCUCCAUCACAGAGCAGGUCCAGAAAGAGAUAAAGAUCUACAAAGGCCUGCCAGCCAUCCCAUCUGGACAAGACCCUGUGGCCUGGUGGGGGGUCAGGUCAUUAAGAAGAGAAAAUGGAGAUUAGAUUACCCUGGUAGUACUCUCUAUUAAUCUCCAGGUAUAAUUAUAUUGUUUGAAUGUGAAUUUUUAUUUUAUAUUGGUUUAUUAUUACCAUAUGUUACCUGUA